GAUGAACGCUGGCGGCGUGCCUAAUACAUGCAAGUCGAGCGAACAGACGAGGAGCUUGCUCCUCUGACGUUAGCGGCGGACGGGUGAGUAACACGUGGAUAACCUACCUAUAAGACUGGGAUAACUUCGGGAAACCGGAGCUAAUACCGGAUAAUAUAUUGAACCGCAUGGUUCAAUAGUGAAAGACGGUUUUGCUGUCACUUAUAGAUGGAUCCGCGCCGCAUUAGCUAGUUGGUAAGGUAACGGCUUACCAAGGCAACGAUGCGUAGCCGACCUGAGAGGGUGAUCGGCCACACUGGAACUGAGACACGGUCCAGACUCCUACGGGAGGCAGCAGUAGGGAAUCUUCCGCAAUGGGCGAAAGCCUGACGGAGCAACGCCGCGCGAGUGAUGAAGGUCUUCGGAUCGUAAAACUCUGUUAUUAGGGAAGAACAAAUGUGUAAGUAACUAUGCACGUCUUGACGGUACCUAAUCAGAAAGCCACGGCUAACUACGU
Molecule: ribosomal RNA, 496 nt
Filed under: uncultured bacterium
Lineage: Bacteria
Description: partial 16S ribosomal RNA
Rfam family: Bacterial small subunit ribosomal RNA
Source: RNAcentral